This 339-nucleotide ribosomal RNA is filed under the name uncultured Latescibacterota bacterium. RNAcentral describes it as "bacterial SSU rRNA". It matches the Rfam family "Bacterial small subunit ribosomal RNA", at positions 29 to 351 of the family's 1533-position model. Lineage: Bacteria; Pseudomonadati; Candidatus Latescibacterota. The record is from RNAcentral.
AACGAACGCUGGCGGCGUGGAUUAGGCAUGCAAGUCGAACGCGAAAGAGGGGGCAACCCCUUGAGUAGAGUGGCGAACGGGUGAGUAACGCGUGAAGAACCUGCCUUCGAGCGGGGAUAACACUCCCAACGGGGUGCUAAUACCGCAUGAGACCACGGGUCCACCUGGACCUGAGGUCAAAGGUGGCCUCUGCUUGCAAGCUACCGCUCGAAGAUGGCUUCGCGUCCCAUUAGCUAGUUGGCGGUGUAAUGGACCACCAAGGCGACGAUGGGUAGCUGGUCUGAGAGGAUGGUCAGCCACACUGGGACUGAGAUACGGCCCAGACUCCUACGGGAGCUG